CAGUUUUCAAUAUUGCUGCCAGACUGCCUUGUACCGGUACACGGGUUUCUUGUACCGGUACAAGGCCAUAAGUAGCCAAACCCGAGGGCUCGAGUUCUCGGUUUCGCAGGCCUUGUACCGGUACAAGGGGCCUUGUACCGGUACAGCGCCUGGACUGCACAAACCCGAGGGCUGUCUGCACUCUGGUCGCUGGUUGUACCGGUACAACCAUCACCCUUGUACCG
Molecule: long non-coding RNA, 224 nt
Filed under: Ananas comosus (pineapple)
Lineage: Eukaryota; Viridiplantae; Streptophyta; Magnoliopsida; Poales; Bromeliaceae
Description: long non-coding RNA (ACOM_LNC035585)
Source: RNAcentral